This 340-nucleotide ribosomal RNA is filed under the name uncultured eukaryote. RNAcentral describes it as "partial 18S ribosomal RNA". It matches the Rfam family "Eukaryotic small subunit ribosomal RNA", at positions 1470 to 1796 of the family's 1831-position model. The record is from RNAcentral.
CCCUUAGAUGUUCGGGGCCGCACGCGCGCUACACUGAAGGACUCAGCGUGUCUCUCCCCCUAUCCCGAAAGGGAUGGGCAACCCGUUGAACCUCCUUCGUGCUAGGGAUUGGGGUUUGCAAUUAUCCCCCAUGAACGAGGAAUUCCCAGUAAGCGCGAGUCAUCAGCUCGCGUUGAUUACGUCCCUGCCCUUUGUACACACCGCCCGUCGCUACUACCGAUUGGAUGGUUUAGUGAGACCCUCGGAUCGGUCCCGACUCGGGGUGGGCUUCUGCCCCGGUCGUGGUUUCGCCGAGAAGACGGUCAAACUUGACUAUCCAGAGGAAGUAAAAGUCGUAACA